UGCGAAGAAGAACAUCCAGCGGAUGGUCAACAGCCGCCAGCCGGCCGGGGUCAGAUUGAACAUCUGGUCGAACAUGAUGGCGAUGAACGAACGCCCCAGCAGCAAUCCGAUCCCCAGCGUCAGGGCGAACAGCGCAUAGAUGAUGGUCGGCUUGAUCUUGAUAAAAAGUUCAUCGUGAAAGAACAGCGUCAGCCCGCCAAACACCAGCACGAUCACCGCGGUGACGAUCGCCAUCAGCGGCACAUGGCGCGUCACGAUGUAGGACGCGGCAAUCGCCGCGACGAUCGCCACCAUGAACGCACCGGUGGCGACGAACAGUCCGAACUUCGCGUUGGCCCCGAAGAAGAUCACCAGCGGACCGAGUUCGGUCGCGAGCUUGAACAGCGGAUG
This 390-nucleotide unclassified non-coding RNA is filed under the name Hevea brasiliensis (rubber tree). The record is from RNAcentral. Lineage: Eukaryota; Viridiplantae; Streptophyta; Magnoliopsida; Malpighiales; Euphorbiaceae.